AUGAUUAAAGGAGAAGAUUGUUCUUUUACCAAACAUAUGCAGAUCAAAUCCCGUCUUAUAAUAAGAAGAAAUCUUUCUCGGUAUCAAUCCCCUUGCCCCUCAUUCUUUGAGAAUCAGAAGGAUCCUUUUCGAGUUUCCAUUUCUUCAUCUGGAAUCUGGGCUCUUCUAUCUUCGACUUAUUUUUUUUUGGCUUUAUUCUUUAUUUAUUUCAUUUCGAUUUUCCCUCUUCCUCUAUCCCUAUCCUCUAGGUACAGCGUUUGCAUCAAUAGAGAACCUUUUCCUCUAUAUGAAUCUAUAUUAUUCCAUUCCAAUUUCUUCCCGAAACUUCCCAAGAAAAAUCCCGAAUUGGAUCCAAAAUUGACGGGUUAA
Molecule: ribosomal RNA, 369 nt
Filed under: Triticum aestivum (bread wheat)
Lineage: Eukaryota; Viridiplantae; Streptophyta; Magnoliopsida; Poales; Poaceae
Description: partial small subunit ribosomal RNA
Source: RNAcentral